This 714-nucleotide ribosomal RNA is filed under the name Kuettlingeria fuscoatroides. RNAcentral's name for it is "Caloplaca fuscoatroides partial large subunit ribosomal RNA". It matches the Rfam family "Eukaryotic large subunit ribosomal RNA", at positions 212 to 944 of the family's 3401-position model. Lineage: Eukaryota; Fungi; Ascomycota; Lecanoromycetes; Teloschistales; Teloschistaceae. The record is from RNAcentral.
GUGAGAAUCCCGUAUGUGACCGGCGACCAACCCCAUGUGAAACCCCUUCGACGAGUCGAGUUGUUUGGGAAUGCAGCUCAAAAUGGGUGGUAUAUUUCAUCUAAAGCUAAAUACCGGCCAGAGACCGAUAGCGCACAAGUAGAGUGAUCGAAAGAUGAAAAGCACUUUGGAAAGAGAGUCAAAAAGUACGUGAAAUUGUUGAAAGGGAAGCGCUCGCAACCAGACCUGCCCGCGGCCGAUCAACCGUCCUUCUGGGCGGUGCACUCGACCGCGAUCAGGCCAGCAUCGGUUCGGGCGGCCGGAUAAAGGCCCUGGGAACGUAGCUCCUUUCGGGGAGUGUUAUAGCCCUCGGUGUAAUGCGGCCAGCCUGGACCGAGGACCGCGCUUCGGCUAGGAUGCUGGCGUAAUGGUUGUGAGCGGCCCGUCUUGAAACACGGACCAAGGAGUCUAACAUCUAUGCGAGUGUUUGGGUGUCAAACCCAUACGCGUAAUGAAAGUGAACGGAGGUGGGAACCCAUUCGGGCGCACCAUCGACCGAUCCAGAUGUCUUCGGAUGGAUUUGAGUACGAGCAUAGCUGUUGGGACCCGAAAGAUGGUGAACUAUGCCUGAAUAGGGUGAAGCCAGAGGAAACUCUGGUGGAGGCUCGCAGCGGUUCUGACGUGCAAAUCGAUCGUCAAAUUUGGGUAUAGGGGCGAAAGACUAAUCGAACCAUC